GACAAAUGAAAUUCCAGUCGCGUAGCAAGCUUGUCGGACCGCAUACAAGGUCCAACAAAUGAGGCAACGCUUUAGUUUAUGACUCAAAACAGACUCGUCGAGUAACAACGCAACGAAAUUCAAACUCGUCAGUGAAUCCCUAUGAACUGCUUGUCACGCUGUUCCUGUUACACCCAGAUAAAUACGGAUUAAAGGAUGAAAUAAUAUUGGUUCCAGUCAGAGGAUAAAUUGGAAACAAGAAAGUCUUAGGAAGAUAUAAAAGCAUUGGAUGUGGGACCUGAAUGCAUGUGGAUCAAAGUUUAACAUGAAACCUAAGAAACUGUGAACUGACCCAAGGCUGUUUAUACUGACCAGGACAAGAUGAAGAGUGGAAUAGAGAAUUUCUGGGAGCCA
Labeo rohita (rohu) is the source of this 393-nucleotide long non-coding RNA. RefSeq lists it as uncharacterized. The record is from RefSeq and is a predicted model, not a curated record. The transcript is spliced from 3 exons. NCBI's taxonomy places the organism in Eukaryota, Metazoa, Chordata, Actinopteri, Cypriniformes, Cyprinidae.